This 462-nucleotide ribosomal RNA is filed under the name uncultured ammonia-oxidizing beta proteobacterium. Its description in RNAcentral is "bacterial SSU rRNA". It matches the Rfam family "Bacterial small subunit ribosomal RNA", at positions 202 to 647 of the family's 1533-position model. Lineage: Bacteria; Pseudomonadati; Pseudomonadota; Betaproteobacteria. The record is from RNAcentral.
AAGCAGGGGAUCGUAAGACCUUGCGCUUUUGGAGUGGCCGAUGCCUGAUUAGCUAGUUGGUGGGGUAAGGGCCUACCAAGGCAACGAUCAGUAGUUGGUCUGAGAGGACGACCAGCCACACUGGGACUGAGACACGGCCCAGACUCCUACGGGAGGCAGCAGUGGGGAAUUUUGGACAAUGGGCGGAAGCCUGAUCCAGCAAUGCCGCGUGAGUGAAGAAGGCCUUCGGGUUGUAAAGCUCUUUCAGUCGGGAAGAAAAGGUUGCGACUAAUAAUCGCAAUUUAUGACGGUACCGACAGAAGAAGCACCGGCUAACUACGUGCCAGCAGCCGCGGUAAUACGUAGGGUGCGAGCGUUAAUCGGAAUUACUGGGCGUAAAGGGUGCGCAGGCGGCUCUGUAAGUCAGAUGUGAAAUCCCCGGGCUUAACCUGGGAAUUGCGUUUGAAACUACAAGACUAGAGU